UACGUAGGGUGCGAGCGUUGUCCGGAAUUAUUGGGCGUAAAGAGCUCGUAGGCGGUUUGUUGCGUCGGCCGAGAAAACUUCACGCUUAACGUGGAGCUUGCGGUCGAUACGGGCAGACUUGAGUUCGGUAGGGGAGACUGGAAUUCCUGGUGUAGCGGUGAAAUGCGCAGAUAUCAGGAGGAACACCGGUGGCGAAGGCGGGUCUCUGGGCCGAUACUGACGCUGAGGAGCGAAAGCGUGGGGAGCGAACAGG
RNAcentral lists this ribosomal RNA (253 nucleotides) under uncultured bacterium. RNAcentral's name for it is "partial 16S ribosomal RNA". It matches the Rfam family "Bacterial small subunit ribosomal RNA", at positions 524 to 776 of the family's 1533-position model. The record is from RNAcentral.